Molecule: ribosomal RNA, 544 nt
Filed under: Pichia ethanolica
Lineage: Eukaryota; Fungi; Ascomycota; Pichiomycetes; Pichiales; Pichiaceae
Description: eukaryotic LSU rRNA
Rfam family: Eukaryotic large subunit ribosomal RNA
Source: RNAcentral
AGCGGCGAGUGAAGCGGCAAGAGCUCAGAUUUGAAAUCGUGUUUCGGCACGAGUUGUAGAGUGUAGGCUGGAGUCUCUGUGGAGCGCGGUGUCCAAGUCCCUUGGAACAGGGUGCCUGAGAGGGUGAGAGCCCCGUGGGGUGCUGCGCGAAGCUUUGAGGCCCUGCUGACGAGUCGAGUUGUUUGGGAAUGCAGCUCUAAGCGGGUGGUAAAUUCCAUCUAAGGCUAAAUAUUGGCGAGAGACCGAUAGCGAACAAGUACUGUGAAGGAAAGAUGAAAAGCACUUUGAAAAGAGAGUGAAACAGCACGUGAAAUUGUUGAAAGGGAAGGGUAUUGGGCCCGACAUGGGGAGUGCGCACCGCUGUCUCUUGUAGGCGGCGCUCUGGGCGCUCUCUGGGCCAGCAUCGGUUCUUGCUGCGAGAGAAGUGGUGCCGGAAAGUGGCUCUUCGGAGUGUUAUAGCCGGUGCCGGAUGUCGCGUGCGGGGACCGAGGGCUGCGACAUCUGUCUCGGAUGCUGGCACAACGGCGCAAUACCGCCCGUCUUG